CCUACGGGAGGCAGCAGUAGGGAAUCUUCCACAAUGGGCGAAAGCCUGAUGGAGCAACGCCGCGUGGGUGAAGAAGGUCUUCGGAUCGUAAAACCCUGUUGUUAGAGAAGAAAGUGCGUGAGAGUAACUGUUCACGUUUCGACGGUAUCUAACCAGAAAGCCACGGCUAACUACGUGCCAGCAGCCGCGGUAAUACGUAGGUGGCAAGCGUUAUCCGGAUUUAUUGGGCGUAAAGGGAACGCAGGCGGUCUUUUAAGUCUGAUGUGAAAGCCUUCGGCUUAACCGGAGUAGUGCAUUGGAAACUGGGAGACGUGAGUGCAGAAGAGGAGAGUGGAACUCGAUGGGUAGCGGUGAAAUGCGUAGAUAUAUGGAAGAACACCAGUGGCGAAAGCGGCUCUCUGGUCUGUAACUGACGCUGAGGUUCGAAAGCGUGGGUAGCAAACAGGAUUAGAUACCCCGGUAGUC
RNAcentral lists this ribosomal RNA (465 nucleotides) under uncultured bacterium. Its description in RNAcentral is "partial 16S ribosomal RNA". It matches the Rfam family "Bacterial small subunit ribosomal RNA", at positions 338 to 795 of the family's 1533-position model. The record is from RNAcentral.